This 461-nucleotide ribosomal RNA is filed under the name Ehrlichia canis. RNAcentral's name for it is "bacterial SSU rRNA". It matches the Rfam family "Bacterial small subunit ribosomal RNA", at positions 139 to 635 of the family's 1533-position model. Lineage: Bacteria; Pseudomonadati; Pseudomonadota; Alphaproteobacteria; Rickettsiales; Anaplasmataceae. The record is from RNAcentral.
CGGAAUAGCCAUUAGAAAUGGUGGGUAAUACUGUAUAAUCCCCGAGGGGGAAAGAUUAUCGCUAUUAGAUGAGCCUACGUUAGAUUAGCUAGUUGGUGAGGUAAUGGCUUACCAAGGCUAUGAUCUAUAGCUGGUCUGAGAGGACGAUCAGCCACACUGGAACUGAGAUACGGUCCAGACUCCUACGGGAGGCAGCAGUGGGGAAUAUUGGACAAUGGGCGAAAGCCUGAUCCAGCUAUGCCGCGUGAGUGAAGAAGGCCUUCGGGUUGUAAAACUCUUUCAAUAGGGAAGAUAAUGACGGUACCUAUAGAAGAAGUCCCGGCAAACUCUGUGCCAGCAGCCGCGGUAAUACGGAGGGGGCAAGCGUUGUUCGGAAUUAUUGGGCGUAAAGGGCACGUAGGUGGACUAGUAAGUUAAAAGUGAAAUACCAAAGCUUAACUUUGGAGCGGCUUUUAAUACUG